Molecule: transfer-messenger RNA, 397 nt
Filed under: chicken gut metagenome
Rfam family: transfer-messenger RNA
About the family: Bacterial tmRNA, also known as 10Sa RNA or SsrA, is named for its dual tRNA and mRNA-like properties. Its role is to liberate the mRNA from a stalled ribosome. To accomplish this part of the tmRNA is used as a reading frame that ends in a translation stop signal.
Source: RNAcentral
GGGGGCGAUUUAGUUUCGACAGGGUUUUGUUUGAAAAAUGUAAAGCACGUGGCGGUUGUCCAUCACGCCUAAAAAGGGACGCGCGAAUUAAACGCAGACAAAAAUGAAAACGUUGUUUCUAUGAACACAAUGCCUUGCGCAGUGUAAGUAAGAAGAAAUAACAGCCCGAUUGGAGCAGUAUCCAAUCCGCCAAGUUUUGAUUUGCCAACAAAACUUUCGGUGUCAGAAGGCAAAAAUUUUGCAUAAAGUUCUUCCUUUUAUAUGCAAAAAAUUUAAAGGGAUAGUUAUGGCGACUUGUUUAUGGGUGACGCCGUAAUGAAAUCUAAGCAUAAACUAAACGUGUAGAAAAGUUUUUCGAAGAAAUUUUGGACUCGGGAGCAUAACCCGACGCCUCCAC